Molecule: long non-coding RNA, 447 nt
Organism: Siniperca chuatsi (mandarin fish)
Lineage: Eukaryota; Metazoa; Chordata; Actinopteri; Centrarchiformes; Sinipercidae
Exons: 3
Source: RefSeq, a predicted model, not a curated record
GUCAGCUGCAACACAGCUGCGGCGCUGCGGAGGCUGAUUUAAAGUUCUGGUUGCACAGCAUGUUGACUACAAACCGCGCUCUUUGCAUCUAAAAAACAUUUCGUAACAGCAGUCUGCCCUCACUAAAGCGGAUGAGGCGAGACAGUCGUAGAAGACGCAGCAGACUGAGGAUCUUGGUGAAGCGCACGAUGCGGAGGGCGCGGGCGGUGCGGUACACGUCAGACGACUCAUGCCGGGACUCCAGGUCAACAAUGAGGAAGAUGUAGUCAACGGGGAUGGAGGAGAUGAAGUCCACCAGGAACCAGGUGCGGAGACAAACUCACAAACAGCACUGAAACUAAGAGGAAACUGAGGUUAGGAAAUUCUGAAGAUAACCCAACUCCAUCAUUACCUGAAGUCACUGUAGGGGUGGAUGAUCCACACUCCAAAGCUCUUGACCCUGGCCUG